This is a long non-coding RNA of Zingiber officinale, 381 nucleotides long. RefSeq lists it as uncharacterized. The transcript is spliced from 3 exons. Lineage: Eukaryota; Viridiplantae; Streptophyta; Magnoliopsida; Zingiberales; Zingiberaceae. The record is from RefSeq and is a predicted model, not a curated record.
AAGUUUCAGAUCGCCCACUACGGGAGGACUCCGGCCAAGAUCGAGGAGUUGGCGAGUUCUAUUGAGUGUCCCGGCAUUGCCAUGAGCGCCUCCCAAGAAGAGAAGAAGUGCAGCUUCAUAACACCGAGUUCAGGUACCAAAAGAGGGCUUUUACAAAUUACAAUAAACUCAAAGAAAAAUUAGGGCAAAUUACUAAUUGUUCCAUCCUCUUACUGAUGUAUACACAGAUCCUAUGUAUGUUGUUUAUCAUGAUGAGGAAUGGGGAGUUCCAGUUCAUGAUGACAGGAUGUUGUUUGAGUUGCUUGUUCUAACAGGAGCUCAAGUGGGGAUGGACUGGACUACUAUACUGAAGAAGAGGAAUGAAUUCAGGGUGGCAUUUGU